UUAAAAAGCUCGUAGUUGGAUUUCUGCUGAGGACGACCGGUCCGCCCACUGGGUGUGCAUCUGGCUCGGCCUUGGCAUCUUCUUGGAGAACGUAUCUGCACUUCAUUGUGUGGUGCGGUAACCAGGACCUUUACUUUGAGGAAAUUAGAGUGUUUCAAGCAGGCGUGCGCCUUGAAUACAUUAGCAUGGAAUAAUAAGAUAGGACCUUAGUUCUAUUUUGUUGGUUUCUAGAGCUGGGGUAAAGAUUAAUAGGGAUAGUUGGGGGNAUUCGUAUUUAACUGUCAGAAGUGAAAUUCUUGGAUUUGUUAAAGACGGACUACUGCGAAAGCAUUUGCCAAGGAUGUUUUCAUUGAUCAAGAACGAAAGUUAGGGGAUCGAAGACGA
Molecule: ribosomal RNA, 384 nt
Filed under: uncultured eukaryote
Lineage: Eukaryota
Description: SSU rRNA
Rfam family: Eukaryotic small subunit ribosomal RNA
Source: RNAcentral